CGUGCCUAAUACAUGCAAGUCGAGCGGACAGAAGGGAGCUUGCUCCCGGAUGUUAGCGGCGGACGGGUGAGUAACACGUGGGUAACCUGCCUGUAAGACUGGGAUAACUCCGGGAAACCGGAGCUAAUACCGGAUAGUUCCUUGAACCGCAUGGUUCAAGGAUGAAAGACGGUUUCGGCUGUCACUUACAGAUGGACCCGCGGCGCAUUAGCUAGUUGGUGAGGUAACGGCUCACCAAGGCGACGAUGCGUAGCCGACCUGAGAGGGUGAUCGGCCACACUGGGACUGAGACACGGCCCAGACUCCUACGGGAGGCAGCAGUAGGGAAUCUUCCGCAAUGGACGAAAGUCUGACGGAGCAACGCCGCGUGAGUGAUGAAGGUUUUCGGAUCGUAAAGCUCUGUUGUUAGGGAAGAACAAGUGCAAGAGUAACUGCUUGCACCUUGACGGUACCUAACCAG
RNAcentral lists this ribosomal RNA (460 nucleotides) under Bacillus pumilus. RNAcentral's name for it is "bacterial SSU rRNA". It matches the Rfam family "Bacterial small subunit ribosomal RNA", at positions 43 to 486 of the family's 1533-position model. The record is from RNAcentral. Lineage: Bacteria; Bacillati; Bacillota; Bacilli; Caryophanales; Bacillaceae.